RNAcentral lists this ribosomal RNA (255 nucleotides) under uncultured bacterium. RNAcentral's name for it is "partial 16S ribosomal RNA". It matches the Rfam family "Bacterial small subunit ribosomal RNA", at positions 524 to 777 of the family's 1533-position model. The record is from RNAcentral.
UACAGAGGUCCCGAGCGUUGUUCGGAUUCAUUGGGCGUAAAGGGUGCGUAGGCGGCGGGGAAAGUCUGAUGUGAAAUCCUGGGGCUCAACCCUGGAACUGCAUUGGAUACUUCCUUGCUAGAGUACUGGAGAGGAAACUGGAAUUUACGGUGUAGCAGUGAAAUGCGUAGAGAUCGUAAGGAAGACCAGUGGCGAAGGCGAGUUUCUGGACAGUUACUGACGCUGAGCACGAAGGCCCAGGGGGAGCAAAACGGG